CAGUAGCCGCGGGAAUACGGAGGUUGCAAGCGUUAAUCGGAAUUACUGGGCGUAAAGCGUGCGUAGGCGGCUUUUUAAGUCGGAUGUGAAAUCCCUGAGCUUAACUUAGGAAUUGCAUUCGAUACUGGGAAGCUAGAGUAUGGGAGAGGAUGGUAGAAUUCCAGGUGUAGCGGUGAAAUGCGUAGAGAUCUGGAGGAAUACCGAUGGCGAAGGCAGCCAUCUGGCCUAAUACUGACGCUGAGGUACGAAAGCAUGGGGAGCAAACAGGAUUAGAUACCCGUGUAGUCCUGUCUCUUAUACA
RNAcentral lists this ribosomal RNA (301 nucleotides) under uncultured bacterium. RNAcentral describes it as "partial 16S ribosomal RNA". It matches the Rfam family "Bacterial small subunit ribosomal RNA", at positions 509 to 809 of the family's 1533-position model. The record is from RNAcentral.